RNAcentral lists this long non-coding RNA (783 nucleotides) under Pan troglodytes (chimpanzee). Its description in RNAcentral is "long non-coding RNA NONPTRT014139". The record is from RNAcentral. Lineage: Eukaryota; Metazoa; Chordata; Mammalia; Primates; Hominidae.
AAGAUUUUGAUGGAGAAAAGCUAAAGACAAAGUGGCGUAGCUAAUAUUCACAUGUUUAACACCCAGCUUAAUUCUCUCUCUUUCCCCCUCUCUCUCUUACAUGCACACACACACAAACACACACAUCUUCCUACACAAAAAAAUCCGUAAUUAUCAUAUGCCCUUGAGAGUACAAAAUUCUGGUUUUCAGGUAGGAAGAGGACAUUUCUGUUUGAUAAUGAUUUGGAUAAAAUAUGUUUCCAAAGUCGUCAUUUCUGAAAUCUACUUAGGCCUCUUAGCCUACUAAACAAUCUUGAUAAAUUAUCAAUGACCAAGAGAGUCAUUAUAUAUUUGCUCUCAAGCAAAAGUAAAUUUAAUCAGCUGAUUUCAAACAGAGCCAGCUUAGACCAGGAAAAAUAAAGAUCACUCUUUUAAUACAUGUCCUGCAGGGCCUGCGUUGGCAAUCUCUCCCAUGCAUGGCCUCAAAUGCCAUCUAAAUUUCACUAACUUCCAAAUGUAUACCUUCUAGCCAGACCAUGUCCCUGAUCUCUAGAGCAAUCUACAUAUUGUCAACUCAACUUCAUCAUGUAGAUGUUUUAAAACCAGUCGCAACUCAAUAAAUCCCCAACUGUAUGUUAUCAGUGUUUAACAUUUUAACAUUUACUGUUAAAAUAUCACUAUUACUGGAACUACUAAAUAUGGCUGAAAAUGUCUAUGACUGAUAUUGUCUCUUUAAAAUAGCAUUAUUAUUCCUAGCAUUAUUUGGACUAUAUAAACACUUGGUUAAUGAAAAAGGGACACCAC